GACGAACGCUGGCGGCGUGCCUAAUACAUGCAAGUUGAGCGCUGAAGGUUGGUACUUGUACCGACUGGAUGAGCAGCGAACGGGUGAGUAACGCGUGGGGAAUCUGCCUUUGAGCGGGGGACAACAUUUGGAAACGAAUGCUAAUACCGCAUAAAAACUUUAAACACAAGUUUUAAGUUUGAAAGAUGCAAUUGCAUCACUCAAAGAUGAUCCCGCGUUGUAUUAGCUAGUUGGUGAGGUAAAGGCUCACCAAGGCGAUGAUACAUAGCCGACCUGAGAGGGUGAUCGGCCACAUUGGGACUGAGACACGGCCCAAACUCCUACGGGAGGCAGCAGUAGGGAAUCUUCGGCAAUGGACGAAAGUCUGACCGAGCAACGCCGCGUGAGUGAAGAAGGUUUUCGGAUCGUAAAACUCUGUUGGUAGAGAAGAACGUUGGUGAGAGUGGAAAGCUCAUCAAGUGACGGUAACUACCCAGAAAGGGACGGCUAACUACGCG
Molecule: ribosomal RNA, 497 nt
Filed under: uncultured bacterium
Lineage: Bacteria
Description: partial 16S ribosomal RNA
Rfam family: Bacterial small subunit ribosomal RNA
Source: RNAcentral